This is a long non-coding RNA of Myiozetetes cayanensis, 1005 nucleotides long. RefSeq lists it as uncharacterized. NCBI's taxonomy places the organism in Eukaryota, Metazoa, Chordata, Aves, Passeriformes, Tyrannidae. The record is from RefSeq and is a predicted model, not a curated record. The transcript has 3 exons.
UUGAUUGUGCAGGCUUGUUGUCAGUAGUAAUGGAAAAGGAACAAAAUGAGGCUUUUGCUUGGGUUUAAUUUUUGCUUCAAUUUAACCUAAACAAGUGAUAAAAACAACAACUGAAAAUCUUCCCCUUAGGACUAUGUCGCAGAUAAAGGAUGGAACUUCUGUAAGAAAAGACUGAUACUUCAAAGUCCAGGAUGCGUCCUGUUCUGGGAUACCAUGGUGCAAGUGAUUUGAGACUGAUCCAGUAUGCCUCAGAGGAAGAGUAUGGAGAACCUGAAGGCCACCAGAGAUAAGAACAAGGAUUCACCCUUCACACAUCCCUCAACUUUGGGCUAUAAGGACCUGAGAAGGAACCAUUUGAGGCAAGCAGGUUCCUAAAAUCUGAGCCAUGUGGUACAUUCACAGGCCAUGUGUGGUCAUACUUCAGCUGGUGCCUGAGAGGAAGCAUUGGAAGGACCUUGCUGAAAUAUCCCUAAUAGCCAUGAUGUCCCCUGGGAAAUGGAUCAAGCUGAUACUAUCUCUGAGUGGAGAAAUAUGGAGAUAUAAUGAAUUUGAUUAUACAGCUGCUUGACAGGCAGAUGCCAAAGGACCCUCAAAGGCCUAUCCCUCAGCAAGGGCCACUUCAUCUCCACUAAAGCAUCCUUGCAGAGCAAACUGAGUAGAAAGAAUUUUCUCUAACAGAGUAGCUUUCAAAAACUCUAAUAGGCAUGAUAGAAAAUACUUCCCGAACAGUUUAUUUUGCUGAUCUUCCUCUGAGGAUACCUUUGCUCAUUUUUAACUCAGUGGAAAAAAUGUCUUUGUAUAUCAGAUGCAGCAUGUAUAAAAAGACAUGCAUUAUUUAUGCAUAAACCUUCUUUACUGAAACCUCUGGUUUGUGCAGAUUUUUGGUUCUCUGACCUUUCCUUAACCUAAUUUUUUAUUUUGUUCUUAGAAUGAAAAGCAAUACUAUAUUUACUGAAUUUUAAUCUGCAUGGGAUUUGUACAUUAAACUUUGCUAUGUUAGAGAAA